AUUGAACGCUGGCGGCAGGCCUAACACAUGCAAGUCGAACGGUAACAGGAAGCAGCUUGCUGCUUUGCUGACGAGUGGCGGACGGGUGAGUAAUGUCUGGCAAACUGCCUGAUGGAGGGGGAUAACUACUGGAAACGGUAGCUAAUACCGCAUAACGUCGCAAGACCAAAGGGGGGGACCUUCGGGCCUCUUGCCAUCGGAUGUGCCCAGAUGGGAUUAGCUAGUAGGUGGGGUAACGGCUCACCUAGGCGACGAUCCCUAGCUGGUCUGAGAGGAUGACCAGCCACACUGGAACUGAGACACGGUCCAGACUCCUACGGGAGGCAGCAGUGGGGAAUAUUGCACAAUGGGCGCAAGCCUGAUGCAGCCAUGCCGCGUGUAUGAAGAAGGCCUUCGGGUUGUAAAGUACUUUCAGCGGGGAGGAAGGGAGUCAAGUUAAUACCUUUGCUCAUUGACGUUACCCGCAGAAGAAGCACCGGCUAACUCCGUG
This 490-nucleotide ribosomal RNA is filed under the name uncultured bacterium. RNAcentral describes it as "partial 16S ribosomal RNA". It matches the Rfam family "Bacterial small subunit ribosomal RNA", at positions 30 to 507 of the family's 1533-position model. The record is from RNAcentral.